GGGCCUUGAGGAUCUUGACCUUCCGGAUAAAAACAUUCUGCAGUGGGAAGAUGCUUGAGGUAGCCUUUUCAAUUUCCUUACCAAUGACCUCAGGAAUAAACUUAGACACCAACUCCUUCAGGUCACAGGUAGAGGCCUGGUUGGCCAUGAUCUCAACCAUCUUCCGGCGGAUCUGCACAUAGAGCGCAAGUAUAGUGAGACAAACAGGAUAACAUAGUUUCAGGCUGAUUUGAAAGAUACAUGGACAUUGCUAGCUUUAGAACUCUUCUACAUAAGCAACAACAGAUGUUACCUGACGGAUCUGGGAGGCCUGUGCAUAGCAGGUACGCUUCACUUGGUUGGGUCUCCUCUUUGUGAAUCCGAUGCAAAACAACCGCAACAUGUAGUUGUCAGUGGUCUUCACAUCAACAUGGGCCUCAAUCAGUGUCUGCCAUUUCCUGACCAGGGACCGAAGCUUGUCGGUCGUAAAAUCC
RNAcentral lists this long non-coding RNA (473 nucleotides) under Setaria italica (foxtail millet). RNAcentral's name for it is "long non-coding RNA (SITA_LNC007340)". The record is from RNAcentral. Lineage: Eukaryota; Viridiplantae; Streptophyta; Magnoliopsida; Poales; Poaceae.